GGAAUAUUGGUCAAUGGACGGAAGUCUGAACCAGCCAUGCCGCGUGGAGGAAGAAGGUCCUAUGGGUUGUAAACUCCUUUUGUUCCAGAGUAAUAAGGUCUUUGCGAAGACCGAUGAGAGUAUGGGGCGAAUAAGCAUCGGCUAACUCCGUGCCAGCAGCCGCGGUAAUACGGAGGAUGCGAGCGUUAUCCGGAUUUAUUGGGUUUAAAGGGUGCGCAGGCGGGCUGUUAAGUCAGCGGUGAAAUGUCCCGGCUCAACCGGGGCCCUGCCGUUGAUACUGGCAGCCUGGAGUACGGACGGCGCCGGCGGAAUGUGUCAUGUAGCGGUGACAUGCUUAGAUAUGACACAGAACACCGAUCGCGAAGGCAGCUGGCGAGGCCGGUACUGACGCUCAGGCACGAAAGCGUGGGGAGCAAACA
RNAcentral lists this ribosomal RNA (419 nucleotides) under uncultured bacterium. RNAcentral describes it as "bacterial SSU rRNA". It matches the Rfam family "Bacterial small subunit ribosomal RNA", at positions 358 to 774 of the family's 1533-position model. The record is from RNAcentral.